This 508-nucleotide ribosomal RNA is filed under the name uncultured bacterium. Its description in RNAcentral is "partial 16S ribosomal RNA". It matches the Rfam family "Bacterial small subunit ribosomal RNA", at positions 28 to 523 of the family's 1533-position model. The record is from RNAcentral.
GAUGAACGCUAGCUACAGGCUUAACACAUGCAAGUCGAGGGGAAACGAUAUUGGAAGCUUGCUUCCGAUAGGCGUCGACCGGCGCACGGGUGAGUAACGCGUAUCCAACCUGCCCACCACUUGGGGAUAACCUUGCGAAAGUAAGACUAAUACCCAAUGAUAUCUCUAGAAGACAUCUGAAGGAGAUUAAAGAUUCAUCGGUGAUGGAUGGGGAUGCGUCUGAUUAGCUUGUUGGCGGGGUAACGGCCCACCAAGGCGACGAUCAGUAGGGGUUCUGAGAGGAAGGUCCCCCACAUUGGAACUGAGACACGGUCCAAACUCCUACGGGAGGCAGCAGUGAGCAAUAUUGGCCAAUGGGCGAGAGCUUGAACCAGCCAAGUAGCGUGCAGGAUGACGGCCCUAUGGGUUGUAAACUGCUUUUAUAAGGGAAUAAAGUGAGUCUCGUGAGACUUUUUGCAUGUACCUUAUGAAUAAGGACCGGCUAAUUCCGUGCCAGCCGCCGCGGUAA